Molecule: long non-coding RNA, 1193 nt
Filed under: Gallus gallus (chicken)
Lineage: Eukaryota; Metazoa; Chordata; Aves; Galliformes; Phasianidae
Source: RNAcentral
CAAAAUGACCCAAAGGGGAAGGAAGGGGCCGACAACCCUGGAGGGAAACGCAGGCAGAAGCACUUUAAAAAGGCAUGAAUCGCUUUUAUUUCAAAUCAACUGAUCAGCCCCCUAGAAAUCACUAAUACAAAGCAUGCGCCCCGCGACGGCAGGGCCAGGAGAUGCGGGUCGGUCGGUUCAGGGGUUCUCAUUACUGGGUUUCUCUUCAUUUCUUUCUUUCUUUCUUUUUUUUUUUUUUUUUUUUUUUUUUUGAAUUUCAUUUUCUGUUUGUUUCCUGUUUCCGGAGCCGUGGACGUGACGAGGCGACGAGGGCGAGAUGGGGCAACACCCCGGGAGCCCAGCAGGGUAGGGGCAGCGGGAGAUCAGCUCGCCGGGGAGGCCACUACAGGCUCUCCUUGUGGUCUCUGACCUCUUCUGCCUUAUCCUUGCCCUCCUGCUUGGCUUCAUUGGCAUCCGGCACGCUGGCAGCGUCGCUGUUCUUUUCCUUCUCCUCUUCGGCUGGGUUGGGCUUCGGCUCCUCCUUGGGGGCCUCUUCGUUGUCUGUCUUCUUCUCUGCUUCCUGCCCCUCCAUCUCCUUGGUGCGCUUGGGGGAGUCCUCCAAAACAUCUUCUGCUUUCCUCUUGAUCCCGGCUUUCUCAUUCUUCUCCUUGGAUUGCUCGUCGAUCACUAGCUUCCCCUCCUCAUCGCUGCUGCCCUCUGCGUUGCCCUUCUUCUCCCCAUCACCCUCUGGCUCCUGCUCUGGCUCAGCGUCCUCAGGGCAGGUCUUCUUCUGAGUAGGCUGGUACCCGGAGGCUUUGACAGUUGGGUUGUGCUCGAUCUCCCACAAGCCUUCGCUGAACCCUUUCCUUUUGUUGGGUUUCCCAAACUUCUCCUUGCAUUCUUCAUAGGGGAAGAGGUCUUUGGGCCCCAGGAAUGCCGUUUCAUGGGUCCCAAAGAAGAAGACUUGGUAUUUGUUGGAGGAAGAUUUUACUGCAGCUUCUGGCAUCUCGUCAAUCCGGGCGGGCCAGUGGGGGUAGCCCUUCAUCUUGGCGAAGACGAGGUCCCCGCACUUGUACUCCUUCUGCCGGUGGGAGCGGGACAUGGUGGCGGCUGCGGGCCGCGGGGGGGCCCGGCGUGAAGUUUGGGAGCGGGAACGCGGCGGGAGGAAAAAAAAAAAACCACACACACACACAAAAAAAAGGGGGGGGGGGGGG